This 537-nucleotide ribosomal RNA is filed under the name uncultured Mycobacterium sp. Its description in RNAcentral is "bacterial SSU rRNA". It matches the Rfam family "Bacterial small subunit ribosomal RNA", at positions 54 to 606 of the family's 1533-position model. The record is from RNAcentral. Lineage: Bacteria; Bacillati; Actinomycetota; Actinomycetes; Mycobacteriales; Mycobacteriaceae.
CAUGCAAGUCGAACGGAAAGGCCCUUUCGGGGGUACACGAGUGGCGAACGGGUGAGUAACACGUGGGUGAUCUGCCCUGCACUUUGGGAUAAGCCUGGGAAACUGGGUCUAAUACCGGAUAGGACUACGCGAUGCAUGUCGUGUGGUGGAAAGCUUUUGCGGUGUGGGAUGGGCCCGCGGCCUAUCAGCUUGUUGGUGGGGUGAUGGCCUACCAAGGCGACGACGGGUAGCCGGCCUGAGAGGGUGUCCGGCCACACUGGGACUGAGAUACGGCCCAGACUCCUACGGGAGGCAGCAGUGGGGAAUAUUGCACAAUGGGCGCAAGCCUGAUGCAGCGACGCCGCGUGAGGGAUGACGGCCUUCGGGUUGUAAACCUCUUUCAAUAGGGACGAAGCGUGAGUGACGGUACCUAUAGAAGAAGCACCGGCCAACUACGUGCCAGCAGCCGCGGUAAUACGUAGGGUGCGAGCGUUGUCCGGAAUUACUGGGCGUAAAGAGCUCGUAGGUGGUUUGUCGCGUUGUUCGUGAAAACUCACA